RNA transcript from Rhagoletis pomonella (apple maggot), 4231 nucleotides. It is a transcript of the gene named E3 ubiquitin-protein ligase Su(dx), with no coding region annotated. The record is from RefSeq and is a predicted model, not a curated record. The transcript is spliced from 9 exons. NCBI's taxonomy places the organism in Eukaryota, Metazoa, Arthropoda, Insecta, Diptera, Tephritidae.
UGCGAAUGUCAAACGAAGUAGAGAAGUUGAAACGAAAGAAUUUCUGCGUUGUUCACGGGUCGAAAAACUGAAAAAUUGUUGUGAAAAUUUUGUACUUUUCUGAACGAAAAUAGUGAAAAAAUAAAGUUAAAAAUUUCAUGAAAUCAUUUCAACGAAAUGAAGGGCACGUGUUUGUGUUAAAAGUGUUACGCUGCGUUUAAUUAUUGGAAAAACUUAAAAUCUAUAGUGCAACUUGUUAAAGAAAGAAAUACAUACCUAAGUUCAUAAAAACCAAACCGAUCUAUAAAUUAUUGAAAUUGUUAGCGUCUAUAAUGCAAUAAAUCGCAUAGACCAAUAUAGGUACUGCAAGAAUUUCGAGUGUCGAAUUUCGUUUGCCGGCAGUGGUGUUGGCCAAACGGCGGUGCUCAGCAGCUGAAUUGCGAAAUAAAAAUUUGUGCCAACUAAACAAUAAAUAUUCCUACUAAAUUUAACGUAAUAACACGCAAUUAUUACAACAACAAAAAGCGCUAGGAAAAAAGAGAGUAAUAGCGGUUGGCGCAAUUAGCACGUAAAUUGUUACAAAAAUUUGGCAGUGUUUCAAGGCAAGUGCUUCAACUACGACAAACUCUUCACAAUUUUUUUUUGCGUCAAGAGUGGCGCGACUCGUUAUUAACACGCACACAAGUGAUUAAGUGUUAAAGUCGAGUUAGUGUGCGACGUUAAUGGCCGAUGGAAAUGUUAUGUCAGCAGCUUCUAUAGGACAUGCAGCUGCUGACUACUAUUCAGUAGCACCAGCAACAGCGGCAAUAACAGCACCAUCAGGAAUGGCCACCAAUGCCAGUGUAGGUGGCGUCAUGCAGACCAACAGUGGCGUUGCAGUUUCCACCGUGGGCGGUGCCAGUGCUAUGAGCAUCAUCGGUAGUGGAAGUAUGAGUGGCAGCAAUAUUAAUUUGAAUGCGGCUUCUAUGGCGGCAAGCACUGCGGUGGCCGCGGCAGCAGCAGGGACGGGGACAACAGCUGGAGCCGCGUCAGCUGCCAGUGGCAUUGGCAACAAUCAAGGUUAUCACCAGUUGAGUGUGACAAUUGAAGAAGCUUCAUUGCGCAAUAAUGGUUUUCUAAAACCUAAUCCAUACGUUGAAUUGGUAAUCGAUAAUAAAAGUAAACGCAAAACUGAUGUGGUGAAGAAUACUUAUCUACCCAAAUGGAACGAGGAGUUCACAGUGCUGAUCACUACCAGCUCUGUGCUGCACAUCAAAGUACUUGACCACUCCAGUUUUCGCAAGGACACUUUGCUAGGCGAGCGCACCAUCCACUUGGCGCACGUGCUGCAACAAUUUAAUGGCAGAUGCGAAUUUCUUGAACUUACAAUGGAUCUGAUAGCCACUUCCAAAUCAGAUAAUCGGCAAACAAAAGUCGGUGAACUUGUCGCAGUGCUCAACGGACUCAAGCUGGACAUGCCCGGCGCGGUGCAACAAAAUGGUAAUGGCGUAUCAAUGCUGCCACCUCCCAACGAAGGCGCUGUGUUGCCGCCUGCUGCCGGUCGCAGUUACAUGAUACAAGGUGGCAUACGUGCGCGCAUGCGCGUGCGCAGUAUCGAAAAUGGCAUGCUAGCCGCAUCAGCAGCUUCGGCAGGGAGUGGAGGUAGCGUGUCACACAUGGCAGUUGCCUCCAGUGGUAGCUCACGUUCGCCCAUAGCCAAUGGCAAUUUGGAACGCUGCAGCAGUGGUAGUUCACAAAAUGGUGCGGUGCGACGUGCUGCCCCGCCACCACCCGUUUGGGAACAACAACAGCCAAUGCCACAAGCACAGACGCAACAUGUGGCGCUACAACAACAGCAACAAUUGCAAGCACAACAACAACACCAAUCACAAAUGCAAGUGCAGCGCAUACCGUCGAUGAAUGGCGGCGCAGUGGCGGUGAAUGCUGCCGGCGUGCAAGUGCGUCCAAUGUCGCAAAUGUAUGCGAAUGGUGGUGUUAGUGGUCAGCCAUUACCGCUGCCACUGCCGUCACAGCAACAGCCGCAAACACAGCAGCAGCUUAUGGAUAGUGCGCUGAUGAGCGCGGCAGGCGAUCAGGCUGCACUGUUGGCGCAAGCGCCAAUGCCGGUAUCCAAUGUGACUGAUCAGCAGUUGCAAGCCGCCCAAGCGGACGAUGAACCGCUGCCUGCUGGCUGGGAAAUACGCUUCGAUCAGUACGGCCGCCGCUAUUACGUCGACCACAAUACGCGUUCCACCUACUGGGAGAAACCGACGCCACUACCGCCCGGUUGGGAGAUACGCAAAGAUCCACGCGGCCGCGUCUACUAUGUGGACCACAAUACGCGCACAACCACCUGGCAGCGACCGAACAGCGAGCGUCUUAUGCAUUUUCAACAUUGGCAAGGACAGCGUGCGCAUGUCGUAGCACAGGGUAAUCAACGUUUCCUCUACUCACAGCAACAACAACAGCCUACAGCGGUGACAGCCACGGUGACGCAAGACGAUGAGGAUGCCUUGGGACCGCUGCCCGAUGGCUGGGAAAAGAAGGUGCAAUCGGAUAAUCGUGUAUACUUUGUGAAUCACAAGAAUCGCACGACACAGUGGGAGGACCCGCGCACGCAGGGUCAAGAAGUUAGUUUAAUGAACGAGGGUCCACUACCGCCCGGCUGGGAGAUACGCUAUACCACUACAGGUGAACGCUUCUUUGUCGAUCACAAUACACGUCGCACCACCUUCGACGAUCCACGUCCGGGCGCACCCAAAGGCGCUAAAGGUGUGUAUGGCGUGCCACGCGCCUAUGAGCGUUCGUUCCGUUGGAAGCUCUCACAAUUCCGCUACCUCUGCCAGAGUAAUGCUUUGCCGUCACACAUUAAAAUAACCGUGACACGACAGACGCUCUUCGAAGAUUCAUACCACCAAAUUAUGCGUUUGCCUGCCUAUGAGCUGCGACGUCGCCUCUAUAUCAUUUUCCGUGGUGAGGAGGGUCUCGACUAUGGUGGUGUGUCGCGUGAAUGGUUCUUUUUGCUAUCACAUGAGGUGCUCAAUCCCAUGUAUUGUCUCUUCGAGUAUGCCAACAAAAACAACUAUAGUUUGCAAAUCAACCCGGCCUCGUAUGUGAAUCCAGAUCACUUGCAGUAUUUCAAAUUUAUUGGCCGUUUCAUAGCGAUGGCAUUGUAUCAUGGUCGUUUUAUAUAUUCCGGAUUCACAAUGCCCUUCUACAAGCGUAUGUUGAACAAGAAAUUGACUAUAAAAGACAUUGAAACCAUCGAUCCGGAGUUUUAUAAUUCGCUUAUUUGGGUGCGUGACAAUAAUAUUGACGAGUGUGGAUUGGAGCUUUGGUUUAGCGUCGACUUUGAGGUGCUUGGACAGAUAAUACAUCAUGAAUUGAAGGAAAAUGGCGAAAAAGAACGAGUGACGGAGGAGAAUAAAGAGGAAUAUAUAACACUCAUGACUGAAUGGCGGAUGACGAGAGGUAUUGAGCAGCAGACAAAAACGUUCCUGGAAGGCUUCAACGAGGUGGUGCCGCUCGAAUGGCUUAAGUAUUUCGACGAACGUGAAUUGGAGCUCAUAUUGUGCGGCAUGCAAGAUGUAGAUGUGGAUGAUUGGCAACGGAAUACGAUUUACAGGCAUUACAAUCGCAACUCCAAGCAAGUGAUGUGGUUCUGGCAGUUUGUGCGCGAUACGGACAAUGAAAAGCGUGCACGCUUGCUGCAAUUUGUUACGGGUACGUGUCGUGUGCCCGUCGGCGGUUUCGCUGAGUUAAUGGGCUCCAAUGGACCGCAACGCUUUUGCAUUGAAAAAGUUGGCAAAGAAACAUGGUUGCCGCGUUCGCAUACCUGCUUCAAUCGUUUGGACUUGCCGCCGUAUAAGAGUUACGAUCAGCUAGUGGAGAAAUUGACAUUUGCCAUUGAAGAGACUGAAGGCUUCUGCCAGGAGUAGAGCGGAAAGCGGCGAGUAGUGACCAUUGUGGACAAGGGAGUAAAGAGGACGCCGAAGCAGUUGUGGGCGGCGCUCUUGUUGAGUGUGUGGUGUAAUUGGCAACCAAAUAAAGAUUAAAAUAAAGCAGCUAAGCUUUAAUGGAAAAACUUGACAUAGAAAGAGAGAGAGAGAGCGAGAGAAAGAGAGAUCAAGUGUGCAUGAUUCGCAAAUCAUUUCAACGAGUAAGCGAGCAAUAGAGAGAGAGAGCGAGAGAGCUAGCGAUAAUGCUGUUGUAAUAAGUUCUAAUUAAAAUUACAAAUAAAUAAAUAAAGAACUAUAUUAUUAGAAAAAAUUUA